RNAcentral lists this non-coding RNA (67 nucleotides) under unclassified sequences. Its description in RNAcentral is "S15-Halobacteria ribosomal protein leader". It matches the Rfam family "S15-Halobacteria ribosomal protein leader". The record is from RNAcentral.
GUGGGAAGCGCACGGCCGCAAAUCCGACAUCGCUGUCCGCUCGGACGGCUUGGGAUUGCGGAAGUGC